UGUAAGCGUAUACCAUAGUUGUUGCAGUUAAAACGCUCGUAGUCGGAAUUUGGCAGUUCCGGAAGUGUGCACGUCGUGUGCGCACUUUGCGGGGACUGCUUUUGUGGUCUUGCGUAGGAUGAGGCACUUUCAUUAGUGAACGUCCUCACGCAACCACUCCUUACUGUGAGAAAAUCAGAGUGCUCAAAGCAGGCAUUUGCCGUGAAUGUAUUAGCAUGGAAUAAUAGAAUAGGACUCGGUUCUAUUUUGUUGGUUUGUUGGGACUGAGUAAUGAUUAAGAGGGACAGUUGGGGGCAUUUGUAUUCCGGCGCUAGAGGUGAAAUUCUUAGAUUGCCGGAAGACAAACUGCUGCGAAAGCGUCUGCCAAGGAUGUUUUCAUUGA
This 382-nucleotide ribosomal RNA is filed under the name uncultured eukaryote. Its description in RNAcentral is "partial 18S ribosomal RNA". It matches the Rfam family "Eukaryotic small subunit ribosomal RNA", at positions 592 to 976 of the family's 1831-position model. The record is from RNAcentral.